GUAAGCCAUCUGCACAAUCGCAGCAGAAAGAGGGAGAGAGGGCACUGGCGAGUGUCUAUGAAGGAAACAUCUUUUCUUUAGCGUAAACAGUUAGGGGAAAGACCCUAGGCAAGACCGGGGCCAGCCGCCGCGGUAACACCGGCAGCCCUAGUGGGGACCGAAUUAUUGGGGCUAAAGCGUUCGUAGCCUGAUAGGCAAGUCUUUGGGUAAAUCCUACGUCUUAAGCGGGGGACUUCUAAAGAUACUUCCUUCCUUGAGGCCGGGGGAGGCUAGAGGUACUCCUGGGGUAGGGGUAAAAUCCUAUAAUCCUAGGGGGACCACCGAUGGCGAAGGCUUCUAGUUGGAACGGGCCUGACGGUGAGGAACGAAACCCUUUUUUAGCGAGCCGGAUUAGAUACCCGGGUAGCCCUGGGGGGAAAGGAUGUGGGCUUGGUGUGGGGAUAUCGAAGUGGUUUCUUGUGCCGAAGGAAAGCCGUUAAGCCCACCGCCUGGGGGGUACGGCCGCAAGGUGGAAACUUAAAGGAAUUGGCGGGGGAAAGGGCAAAUUCGUUUAAACUUGCAGGACUAGUCCCUUAGUGGGGUUAAUUCUGAGCUUGGGUAUUCAUGGCAUAGCUGUUUCGGGA
Molecule: ribosomal RNA, 623 nt
Filed under: uncultured archaeon
Lineage: Archaea
Description: bacterial SSU rRNA
Rfam family: Archaeal small subunit ribosomal RNA
Source: RNAcentral